Molecule: ribosomal RNA, 491 nt
Filed under: uncultured bacterium
Lineage: Bacteria
Description: partial 16S ribosomal RNA
Rfam family: Bacterial small subunit ribosomal RNA
Source: RNAcentral
GUGAACGCUGGCGGUAGGCCUAACCCAUGCAAGUCGAACGGCAGCACAGUAAGAGCCUGCUCUUACGGGUGGCGAGUGGCGGACGGGUGAGGAAUACAUCGGAAUCUACUUUUUCGUGGGGGAUAACGUAGGGAAACUUACGCUAAUACCGCAUACGACCUACGGGUGAAAGCAGGGGAUCUUCGGACCUUGCGCGAUUGAAUGAGCCGAUGUCGGAUUAGCUAGUUGGCGGGGUAAAGGCCCACCAAGGCGACGAUCCGUAGCUGGUCUGAGAGGAUGAUCAGCCACACUGGAACUGAGACACGGUCCAGACUCCUACGGGAGGCAGCAGUGGGGAAUAUUGGACAAUGGGCGCAAGCCUGAUCCAGCCAUACCGCGUGGGUGAAGAAGGCCUUCGGGUUGUAAAGCCCUUUUGCUGGGAAAGAAAAGCAGCAGGUUAAUACCCCGCUGUUCUGACGGUACCCAAAGAAUAAGCACCGGCUAACUUCGUG